Xenopus tropicalis (tropical clawed frog) is the source of this 46-nucleotide non-coding RNA. The record is from Rfam. Lineage: Eukaryota; Metazoa; Chordata; Amphibia; Anura; Pipidae.
CCAAAGGCUCUUCUCAGAGCCGCCACAUAGUCACUGAGAGUUGGAA